UGACAGUUGUGAAGAAUGCAGAAUCGUGUGU
This 31-nucleotide non-coding RNA is filed under the name Mus musculus (house mouse). Lineage: Eukaryota; Metazoa; Chordata; Mammalia; Rodentia; Muridae. The record is from RNAcentral.